CGGGGUGCAGCAGGCGCGAAAACUCCACAAUGUACGGAAGUACGAUGGGGUUAUCUCGAGUGCAGUCCGAUAAGGGCUGCUUUUCCAUAGAGUAAUAUCCUGUGGGAAUAAGAGGGGGGCAAGACUGGUGUCAGCCGCCGCGGUAACACCAGCCCCUCGAGUGGUAGGGACUUUUAUUUGGCCUAAAGCGUCCGUAGCUGGCUGUAUCCGUUUCCCGGCAAAUCCGGCGUCUUAAGCGUCGGGCUUCGGGUAAUACCAUACAGCUUGAGGGUGGGAUAGGUGAGCGGUAUUUCUGGGGUAGGGGCGAAAUCCUUUGAUCCCAGGAGGACCACCAGUGGCGAAGGCUGCUCACUAGAACACGCCUGACGGUCAGGGACGAAAGCUGGGGCAGCGAACCGGAUUAGAUACCCGGGUAGUCCCAGCUGUAAACGAUGCUAGCUAGGUGUUGGGUCGGCCACGCGCCGCCCCAGUGCCGCAGGGAAGCCGUUAAGCUAGCCGCCUGGGGAGUACGGCCGCAAGGCUGAAACUUAAAGGAAUUGGCGGGGGAGCACAAGGGCAAUUCGCGCC
This 567-nucleotide ribosomal RNA is filed under the name uncultured archaeon. RNAcentral describes it as "bacterial SSU rRNA". It matches the Rfam family "Archaeal small subunit ribosomal RNA", at positions 326 to 895 of the family's 1478-position model. The record is from RNAcentral.